RNAcentral lists this transfer RNA (69 nucleotides) under Rattus norvegicus (Norway rat). It matches the Rfam family "tRNA". Rfam says of the family: Transfer RNA (tRNA) molecules are approximately 80 nucleotides in length. Their secondary structure includes four short double-helical elements and three loops (D, anti-codon, and T loops). The record is from Rfam by way of RNAcentral. Lineage: Eukaryota; Metazoa; Chordata; Mammalia; Rodentia; Muridae.
GGAGGUUUAGCUCAGUGGUAGAGCGCUUGCCUAGCAAGCGCAAGGCCCUGGGUUCGGUCCCCAGCUCCG